AUGCUCGCUUCAGCAGCACAUAUACUAAAAUUGGAAUAAUGCAAAGAAGACUAACAUGUUUCCUGCGCAAGGAUGACAGAAAGACCAAUUCAAAAUGGAU
This 100-nucleotide small nuclear RNA is filed under the name Mus pahari (shrew mouse). The record is from RNAcentral. Lineage: Eukaryota; Metazoa; Chordata; Mammalia; Rodentia; Muridae.